UUUAUGGCUCGGGGGACUGUGCUUGAACAUAAAAGUUUGUUCAAUGACACAGACGUACAUACGCACACACACACACACAGAGAGAGAGAGAGAGAGAGGGAGUCAUGAACAAGGUUUGAAACCCAUUCAGCUUAGGAGAUUUCCUAAACUAUGCUGACAGUGGCAGGUGGUGAUGUCAACAUACAGCCUGCUUGUUCUUUUAGCCUGUGCAAAGGUGUGGAGGUACCUAUAAUACUAUGUAUACAGAACUCUUCAUGCAUUCCUGAUUCCAGAGGAUGGCAUUUAGUAAACAGAAGUGCGUGUCAGGCGGCGCGGGGACAGGCCUGGGCGUACAACCUGCCGGCCCGCGAGGGGUGACUGCCAAUAAACCUCAGCCGAGGGGAUGGAGGAGGACGUUUUCUAAACCUCCUCCAUGUCAUCGCCACAGCUACUGGGAGCACCUCCUCCAUCGCUCUCGACCACCACCUCUCACCUCCGUUGCCCUAUGGCUCCCGGAGGAGGUCACACACCUGCCUCCACUUCUUCCCUCCUCCACUUCACCCGUUCUUCUUCUUCUUCUUCUUCUUCUUCUUCUUCUUCUUCUCUGCCGCUCUGCUCUCGCAGGAACUCUUGGGCCCUGGGGUGUUUUGAACAUUUUCAACUCUAGGCUCUAUUUAAGCACCGACAUAAAGGAACACUGCAAAGACAAAAAAUAAAAG
Gambusia affinis (western mosquitofish) is the source of this 698-nucleotide long non-coding RNA. RefSeq lists it as uncharacterized. The record is from RefSeq and is a predicted model, not a curated record. NCBI's taxonomy places the organism in Eukaryota, Metazoa, Chordata, Actinopteri, Cyprinodontiformes, Poeciliidae. The transcript is spliced from 3 exons.